RNAcentral lists this long non-coding RNA (1619 nucleotides) under Astyanax mexicanus (Mexican tetra). RNAcentral's name for it is "lncRNA (ENSAMXG00005019109.1)". Lineage: Eukaryota; Metazoa; Chordata; Actinopteri; Characiformes; Acestrorhamphidae. The record is from RNAcentral.
GGUGGUCUCAGUGGCAGGUUUAUUGGUGCUGUUUUCUCCUGCCAGGCUGCCAUUGUGGCUCUCCAGGGUGCUAACAUUGAGGGUGGAAGGUGUGUCAAGGGCUGGAUGGUCCUCAUCUCCAACAGAGAGCACCUCUAUUCUGGAAGGACACGUCUGUUCUGUCCCUCCAGCCUGUGGAGAUACUGUAUGACGGGAUACCUGAGCUGGGGUUUACUGAGGAGUUGUGUCACUCUAGGAGAAGAUUAGGUGACCAUUGCGUCUCCCUGGAUACCUGAUCAGGUUACAGAUGGGCCGGCAUACCUAUUUGGAGGCACUGGGGCAUUGGGCAUAUGAAGACACCAAGGAUUAGCAUAGGAAAAAUUAAGAUGGUCAUAUUUAAACUACUUGAACUCAUUGGGUCAGUGGUGUAGGAGAAAAUAAUAAGAAAUAAUAGAGAAAGAUGGGAGGAUAGACUGAUGAUGUGAAGAGAGAAGAUAAGAGGGAUGUAAUAGUUAAUCUGUAAUGAUGUUAACUAUAAAGGCCAAUUAUUAAACCACUCAAUGAUCAACUAUUUAAUUUUAUGUAUUUUAUGUUUGGUUAUGCUUAAAUGGCCAGUUCUAAUAUUAGUUUUCACUCCAUCUCCUCAACACCCCAUUAUUCCACCCCAUCUCCUCAACACCCCAUUACUCCACCCCAUCUCCUCAUCAUCAUAUAACUCCACCCCAUCUCCUCAACACCCCAUUACUCCACCUCAUCUCCUCAACACCCCAUUACUCCACCCCAUCUCCUCAUCAUCAUAUAACUCCACCCCAUCUCCUCAACACCCCAUUACUCCACCCCAUCUCCUCAACACCCCAUUACUCCACCCCAUAUCCUCAACACCCCAUCUCUCCACCCCAUCUCCUCAACAUCCCGUUACUCCACCCAUUUUCUCAAAACCCCAUUACUCCACUCCAUCUCCUCAACACCCCAUUACUCUACCCCAUCUCCUCAACAUCCCGUUGCUCCACCCCAUCUCCUCAUCAUCCCAUUACUCCACCCUAUCUCCUCAACAACACAUUACUCUGUCUCAUUUCCUCAACAUCCCUUUACUCCAUCCCAUCUCCUCCACACCCAAUUACUCCACCCAUCUCCUCCACACCCAAUUACUUCACCCCAUCUCCUCAAAACCCCAUUAAGGUCAGGACUUUACAAAUAAUUAUUUUUACCUAUAACACAGGUAGUGACUGAUGAACUCAAUGGAGCUAAGAAGUGAGUAAACUUGACUCUUCUCAAAGUAAUACUUUAUGUCCUUAUGACCUGAAUUCUAAUUGUUUCUGUAUUUGUUAUUUCACUAUCAGUGGUGAAAUUCCCCCCUACAGAUAUGAGAGUUUUAAACCAACUUUGGCCAGUUAGUUUAAGUAUGUGUCCUGCAUGACUAGAUAAUAAUAAUACUCUGAAGAGGAGAUUUUAGAGGCCUGCUCUAUGUUAAUAGAUGGGUAUGAGCCGCAAUUCAAUGAUCAUUUGUGUUGUCUGAGCUGCUGUCAUAGGAGAGGCCUGUGGUUUUCCUUUCAUGUCUUAUUUAAAGGGGCCUGUAUUGAACUUUCUUCAUUCUUCAUGUUUGUUUGUGUGCUUUUUAAUAAAACCCAGAAAAUAAUCCA